This 518-nucleotide ribosomal RNA is filed under the name uncultured Glomus. RNAcentral's name for it is "SSU rRNA". It matches the Rfam family "Eukaryotic small subunit ribosomal RNA", at positions 569 to 1089 of the family's 1831-position model. The record is from RNAcentral. Lineage: Eukaryota; Fungi; Glomeromycota; Glomeromycetes; Glomerales; Glomeraceae.
AGCAGCCGCGGUAAUUCCAGCUCCAAUAGCGUAUAUUAAAGUUGUUGCAGUUAAAAAGCUCGUAGUUGAAUUUCGGGAUCAAUAUGUUGGUCGUGCCUUUGGUACGUACUAGCUUAUUGAUUUCUCCCUUCUGACGAACCAUGAUGUCAUUAAUUUGGUGUCAUGGGGAAUCAGGACUGUUACUUUGAAAAAAUUAGAGUGUUUAAAGCAGGCUUACGCUUGAAUACAUUAGCAUGGAAUAAUGAAAUAGGACGUUUUGAUUCUAUUUUGUUGGUUUCUAGGAUCGACGUAAUGAUUAAUAGGGAUAGUUGGGGGCAUUAGUAUUCAAUUGUCAGAGGUGAAAUUCUUGGAUUUAUUGAAGACUAACUACUGCGAAAGCAUUUGCCAAGGAUGUUUUCAUUAAUCAAGAACGAAAGUUAGGGGAUCGAAGACGAUCAGAUACCGUCGUAGUCUUAACCAUAAACUAUGCCGACUAGGGAUCGGAUGAUGUUAAUUUUUAAUGACUCAUUCGGCGUCCG